AAUACAUAAUGCAUUAAUGUAUUUUCCUUUUCUUGCAUUGCGAGUGAGUGAUGUGAUGAAUGAAAUAAUUAACUUUUCAAUUAACCGCACUUUUACACUCGAAUGAUAACAUGACGACUUGUUUGUAAAUUAAAACACGAUUAAUUAAAAAAAUACCUAAUGUGUUAUUUUAUUUUGGCCUGAAAUAACUAUAUUAUAUUCAUUUCAUUCAUCCACCAAGUAAGAAAUUUCCCAACUUGUUUUACUGAUUAGAAAAUUAAUGCUGCUGCAAGUACAACGAGAAGCUGAAGUAGUUUGCAAAGGGGAAAAAAUCAGAAAAUUUCAACCCAAAAUGUAUGCAACUCCUCCACCAAACCAACAAGUACUCCAUCCAACGAUGCCCAUUAAGUUUUCAUACUAAUCUUUACAAAUCAAUGCAUUUAUUUUAUUUUAUUUUACUUCCACCUCUGAAAACAGUUGUUUUUACUGGCUCUGGUUGUUGUACAAUUUGCAACAAUAUUACUCACCCAUCCGUGCCAAAUCUAUCUUCGUCGUCGUACUUAAGAGUGGAGGCAGGCAGGCAGAGGCAGUAGGUAUCUCAGCAAUAAUGAUUUAACAUACUUCCUCAUCUUCCUUUUCAAUCUUCUCUUUUUGUGUGAGCACCGUUUUACCAAUAAUACCGGUAAACGAUAUCUCGCCUUUAUUCUUGGGAGGAACGAACUUAUUUUUGAAAACAAACGCGCAAAACAUUACAAGAAAUCAGACCUAAUAAACAAGCAACCGCCGACGCCACCGCCGUUGCGUUGCGCCUGUGGUGGAAGGAUGCUUUGUCAGGUUCCGUUCAAAGUGCAUUUGUCGACGAGGACAAAAAAAACAUGCAAAAAUUCAGUUCAUCCCAUUUCUCAUGUCCAUCACUUCACUUACAGAAUUUCCUCGGCAAGAAUGUGUUUGAGAAGAUGAGGAAGAAGAAAAAUGCAUGCAUGCAAAUGCCACGAGUGAGUUUGAAAAAAAAAUCAUGAUUUCGAUUCAAGUUCAGUUUCAAUAACUUUUUGUUUUGUUGAUGAUGAUGCGAAAGAACCAAUUUCGUGUAUCUGCAGGCUCUUCUUCUUCUUCUUCUGUGUACCGUAUCUGCACUUGAUGAUCAAUUUGGAGUGGUCGCAAAAAAUAAAUUUACAAUGAUUGGUCUCCUAUCCUAAUUAAUUUUUUGAGACGGUUAAUUAACUCUCACUUGACUUAACGUAGGUAUAUGAACAUAGUUAUUUCGUGAAUGGAAAUAAAUGAGAGUGAGGA
Long non-coding RNA from Folsomia candida, 1269 nucleotides. RefSeq lists it as uncharacterized. The transcript has 2 exons. The record is from RefSeq and is a predicted model, not a curated record. Lineage: Eukaryota; Metazoa; Arthropoda; Collembola; Entomobryomorpha; Isotomidae.